UUUGGUGCAGUGAUGAGGAUAUCGUGGACUAGAGUUUCUGAUCUGGUAUAUAAUACCAGCAGUUGAAGACAAACCCUUGGCUGUCUGAGCACUACA
Elaeis guineensis (African oil palm) is the source of this 96-nucleotide small nucleolar RNA. RefSeq annotates it as small nucleolar RNA Z157/R69/R10. Lineage: Eukaryota; Viridiplantae; Streptophyta; Magnoliopsida; Arecales; Arecaceae. The record is from RefSeq and is a predicted model, not a curated record.